UGGGGAAUAUUGCACAAUGGGGGAAACCCUGAUGCAGCGACGCCGCGUGAGUGAUGAAGUAUUUCGGUAUGUAAAACUCUAUCAGCAGGGAAGAAAUUGACGGUACCUGACUAAGAAGCACCGGCUAAAUACGUGCCAGCAGCCGCGGUAAUACGUAUGGUGCAAGCGUUAUCCGGAUUUACUGGGUGUAAAGGGAGUGUAGGUGGCGAGGCAAGUCAGAAGUGAAAGCCCGGGGCUCAACCCCGGGACUGCUUUUGAAACUGCUUUGCUAGAGUGCAGGAGAGGUAAGUGGAAUUCCUAGUGUAGCGGUGAAAUGCGUAGAUAUUAGGAGGAACACCAGUGGCGAAGGCGGCUUACUGGACUGUAACUGACACUGAGGCUCGAAAGCGUGGGGAGCAAACAGG
Molecule: ribosomal RNA, 404 nt
Filed under: uncultured prokaryote
Also listed under: 1 other name
Description: bacterial SSU rRNA
Rfam family: Bacterial small subunit ribosomal RNA
Source: RNAcentral